GCAUAUCAAUAAGCGGAGGAAAAGAAACCAACAGGGAUUGCCCUAGUAACGGCGAGUGAAGCGGCAACAGCUCAAAUUUGAAAUCUGGCCUCGGCCCGAGUUGUAAUUUGCAGAGGAUGCUUCUGGCGCGGUGCCUUCCGAGUUCCCUGGAACGGGACGCCACAGAGGGUGAGAGCCCCGUAUGGUCGGACACCAAGCCUGUGUGAAGCUCCUUCGACGAGUCGAGUAGUUUGGGAAUGCUGCUCUAAAUGGGAGGUAAAUCUCUUCUAAAGCUAAAUACCGGCCAGAGACCGAUAGCGCACAAGUAGAGUGAUCGAAAGAUGAAAAGCACCUUGAAAAGGGGGUUAAAUAGUACGUGAAAUUGUUGAAAGGGAAGCACUUGUGACCAGACUUGGGCCGGGCGGCUCAUCAGGGGUUCUCCCCUGUGCACUCCGCCCGGCACAGGCCAGCAUCGGUUCUCGCGGGGGGAUAAGACCGCCGGGAACGUAGCACCCUCCGGGGUGUGUUAUAGCCCGGCGGACGAUACCCCCGCGGGGACCGAGGUCCGCGCUCCGCAAGGAUGCUGGCGUAAUGGUCACCAGUGACCCGUCUUGAAACACGGACCAAGGAGUCGUCCAUUAGAGCGAGCGUUUGGGUGUAAAACCCGCACGCGUAAUGAAAGUGAACGCAGGUGAGAGCUUCGGCGCAUCAUCGACCGAUCCUGAUGUUCUCGGAAGGAUUUGAGUAAGAGUUUUAACGGACGGACCCGAAAGACAGUGAACUAUGCUUGUAUAGGGUGAAGCCAGAGGAAACUCUGGUGGAGGCUCGCAGCGGUUCUGACGUGCAAAUCGAUCGUCAAAUAUGAGCAUGGGGGCGAAAGACUAAUCGAACUGUCUAGUAGCUGGUUACCGCC
RNAcentral lists this ribosomal RNA (892 nucleotides) under Phaeocytostroma sp. RNAcentral's name for it is "partial large subunit ribosomal RNA". It matches the Rfam family "Eukaryotic large subunit ribosomal RNA", at positions 38 to 962 of the family's 3401-position model. The record is from RNAcentral. Lineage: Eukaryota; Fungi; Ascomycota; Sordariomycetes; Diaporthales; Diaporthaceae.